UACGGAGGGGGCUAGCGUUGUUCGGAAUUACUGGGCGUAAAGGGCGCUCAGGCGGCUGCUCAAGUCAGGCGUGAAAGGCCUGGGCUCAACCCGGGAAUUGCGCUUGAGACUGGGCUGGCUUGAGUGCGGGAGAGGAUGGUGGAAUUCCCAGUGUAGAGGUGAAAUUCGUAGAUAUCGGGAAGAACACCGGUGGCGAAGGCGGCCAUCGGGACCGCAAGUGACGUUGAGGCGCGAAAGCGUGGGGAGCAAACAGG
This 254-nucleotide ribosomal RNA is filed under the name uncultured bacterium. Its description in RNAcentral is "partial 16S ribosomal RNA". It matches the Rfam family "Bacterial small subunit ribosomal RNA", at positions 524 to 776 of the family's 1533-position model. The record is from RNAcentral.